AGAUUGAACGCUGGCGGCAUGCCUAACACAUGCAAGUCGAGCGGCAGCGCGGGGGCGACCCUGGCGGCGAGCGGCGGACGGGUGAGUAAGGCAUCGGAAUCUGCCCUGAUGUGGGGGAUAACGUAGGGAAACUUACGCUAAUACCGCAUACGACCGAGAGGUGAAAAGGCGGGGGAACGAAGCCUCGCGCAGCGAGGAUGGACGCCGAUCGGUCCGUAAUUAGCUUGGGUUAGGGUAGGGGUAACGGCCCACCAAGGCGACGAUCGGUAGCUGGUCUGAGAGGAUGAUCAGCCACACUGGGACUGAGACACGGCCCAGACUCCUACGGGAGGCAGC
RNAcentral lists this ribosomal RNA (336 nucleotides) under uncultured prokaryote. RNAcentral describes it as "bacterial SSU rRNA". It matches the Rfam family "Bacterial small subunit ribosomal RNA", at positions 26 to 352 of the family's 1533-position model. The record is from RNAcentral.